CAGCAGCAGCCACGGGAAUACAGAGGGUGCGAGCGUUAAUCGGAUUUACUGGGCGUAAAGCGUGCGUAGGCGGCUUUUUAAGUCGGAUGUGAAAUCCCUGAGCUUAACUUAGGAAUUGCAUUCGAUACUGGGAAGCUAGAGUAUGGGAGAGGAUGGUAGAAUUCCAGGUGUAGCGGUGAAAUGCGUAGAGAUCUGGAGGAAUACCGAUGGCGAAGGCAGCCAUCUGGCCUAAUACUGACGCUGAGGUACGAAAGCAUGGGGAGCAAACAGGAUUAGAUACCCCUGUAGUCCCUGUCUCUUAUAC
RNAcentral lists this ribosomal RNA (304 nucleotides) under uncultured bacterium. Its description in RNAcentral is "partial 16S ribosomal RNA". It matches the Rfam family "Bacterial small subunit ribosomal RNA", at positions 506 to 807 of the family's 1533-position model. The record is from RNAcentral.